Molecule: small RNA, 277 nt
Filed under: marine eukaryotic metagenome
Description: 5' ureB small RNA
Rfam family: 5' ureB small RNA
Source: RNAcentral
CUUGUUGAGGACUAAUAAAAUGUAUAUGAGCAUCGAUACCACCGGCAGUUAAUAUCCGUCCCUCGCCUGCGAUUGCCUCAGUGCCAGGUCCAAUAAUAAUAUCUAUAUCCGAUUGGAUGUCCGGAUUACCAGCUUUACCAAUCGAGUGAAUACGACCAUCUUUAAUACCAACAUCUGCCUUUAUAAUUCCGGUGUAAUCAACAAUUAAAGCAUUUGUAAUUACCGUGUCUACUGCACCUCUCUCCCUAGUGAUUUGAGACUGACCCAUUCCAUCGCG